Molecule: unclassified non-coding RNA, 1975 nt
Filed under: Hevea brasiliensis (rubber tree)
Lineage: Eukaryota; Viridiplantae; Streptophyta; Magnoliopsida; Malpighiales; Euphorbiaceae
Source: RNAcentral
GGCAACCCAAACACCAGCAGAAUCUUAGCUGGAUGCACCUCUCCCCCUUUCUGUGUCUCUCUCUUUCCUUCCCUUUUCUUCCUCUCUUUUCCCUCUUCUCAAUCUUUUCAACUCUUUCCCAUUUAACAUUUUCCUCCUUCCUUUUCUCUCACUUUCCCUGGAAAAUACGCACUCAUUCUCUGCACUGAAAUCACCAGUUCACUUACACCCCACAAUGCCAACCUCUUCUUCCUUCUUCUUCAUCACAUUCUUCGUCUUAUCCUGUGCCCCUCGCCACUUAUCCUCCACCCCCAACCGUAGGAUCCUCCACCAACCUUUCUUUCCACUUGACACACUUCCUCCUUCUCAACCUCCUUCUACUUCCCCUCCUACUCCAUCAACGCCUCCAAAAAUCCCUUUUUCCACUACUACACCUAAUCAGUCCCCUUUUUUUCCUUCCUACCCUUCUCCUCCACCUCCUCCUGCUCCUGCCACAUUUGCUUCUUUCCCUGCUAAUAUCUCCUCUCUCAUUCUACCUCAGUCUCCUCAACCCAAACCCAAUUCCCAUAAAAUCCUCGCUGUUGCAAUUUCGGCUGUCGUCUCUGCUAUUUUUAUCUUGGGUAUUUUCGUCUUUUACUAUGGCCGGCGCCGGCGACUCCGUGGAUUCUCUGAUGACAAGACUUAUAGAUCGGAUAACAGUAACAGACUGAACCCAGCUGAUUCGGAUACUACUAACUCUACUCGUCACAAGCUAAGAGCCACUUCGACUAGCUCUGAGUUUCUUUAUUUGGGUACUUUGGUCAGUUCGCAUACCAUAGAUGAAGGUUCUAAUGCUCAAGACAAUGCUAAUGUUGGGUCGGAUCCUCGGAAAUUGGAUUCGCCGGAGUUGCUCCCACUGCCACCGCUUAACAGGCAGAGUUCCAGGCUGAAUUUCGGGAAUGGAGAAGUGGGGUCUACUGCGGGUGAGGAAGAAGAGUUUUACUCGCCGCGAGGGUCUCUGGGAGGUCGAGAGAGCUCGAGCGGGAUGGGAUCGGGGUCCAGAAGAGUGUUUGCGGCUGUCGGUGGUCAGGAUUUUGAUGCAGGAAGCACUGGCUCAAGCACGUAUUCGUCUUCUACUUCGGGCUCUCCUGCUCGGUCUCAAUCACUUAGUAGUUCUCCGCUAGUAAGGUUGAGUCCACGGCCAAAAUCGCCGGAUUCUGCUGUUCUUCAGCCUGCUCCAGCACCUCCUGCCCCGCCUCCACCACCACUAAUGCCUCUUCAUAACGACCGGAAGUUUCCAUCACCGUUUCCGUCUGCUGCCUCGUCUCGAGAUGAAUCGCCGUGUGUAUCGUUUAAUUUUGACCAAAACGCACAGUCUCCAUCAGCGUCCUCUGCUUCUUCAUCGCCCAACAGGAGUUUGGAGAAAAGCGCAGGUGCAUCACCGCGAAUAUUGAAUGAUUUGGAUCGAAAUGUGCGGUCUCCAUUGCUGUCGCCAGCAAAUGUAUUGAAUGUUUUGGAUCAAAAUAGGCAGUCCCCUUCACUAUCAUCUGUUUCUACAUCACCUGACAGAAGUUUGGAGAAAACUCCGAAUGCUUCUCCUAGAAUAUCGAAUGAUUUGGAUCGAGAUGUGAGGUCCCCACAUCUGUCUUUUACUUCUACUUCGCCAGAUAAAAUUUUUGAGAGGGCCUCGUCUCCGAGAUUAUCGAAUGGUUUGGAUCGAAAUGCGCACUCGCCUUCAUUUUCUUCAACUUCGACUUCACCAGGCAGAGAUUUGGACAAGAACCCACUCGCAUAUCCCAGAAUUUCAAAUGUUUCGGAUCAAAGUAAGGGGUCUUCUUCACUGUCUUCAGCUUCUUCGUCGCCAGGUAGAGGUUUGGAAAAGAGCCCAGGUGCAUCACCAAGAAUGACUUCGAGUGUUUUUAGUCUAAAUGCGAGAACUAGCAGUGUUUUAGGCCAGCCUAUUUCACUUCCACUACCGCAUCCUCCACCUCCACCUCCACCACCGCCACCACCACAA